Molecule: ribosomal RNA, 382 nt
Filed under: uncultured eukaryote
Lineage: Eukaryota
Description: partial 18S ribosomal RNA
Rfam family: Eukaryotic small subunit ribosomal RNA
Source: RNAcentral
UGUAAGCGUAUACCAAAGUUGUUGCAGUUAAAACGCUCGUAGUCGGACUUUGGCAGUUCCGGAUGUGUGCACGUCGUGUGCGCACUUCGCGGGGAUUGCUUUUGUGGUCUUGCGUAGGAUGAGGCACUUUUAUUAGUGAACGUCCUCACGCAACCACUUUUUACUGUGAGAAAAUCAGAGUGCUCAAAGCAGGCAUUUGCCGUGAAUGUAUUAGCAUGGAAUAAUAGAAUAGGACUUGGUUCUAUUUUGUUGGUUUGUUGGGACUGAGUAAUGAUUAAGAGGGACAGUUGGGGGCAUUUGUAUUUCGGUGCUAGAGGUGAAAUUCUUAGAUUACCGAAAGACAAACUGCUGCGAAAGCGUCUGCCAAGGACGUUUUCAUUGA